This 301-nucleotide long non-coding RNA is filed under the name Ananas comosus (pineapple). RNAcentral describes it as "long non-coding RNA (ACOM_LNC008068)". Lineage: Eukaryota; Viridiplantae; Streptophyta; Magnoliopsida; Poales; Bromeliaceae. The record is from RNAcentral.
GAUAAUGGAGAUCCCGGCGAUCAACCUCGAAGAGCUCGAAGGCGAGAAGAGGAGCACUACCAUGUCGCUUCUCCACGACGCCUGCGGAAAGUGGGGGUUCUUUUGGGUAAGCAUAAGGAGUUAAUAAUGCUGAGCUGUGAGAAAUGUUAAGCUUAACUAACUUCGAUAAUUGCGCGUCGUCGCAGGUAGAGAACCAUGGGGUUGACGAGGAGCUGAUGGAGAAGGUGAAGGCGCUGGUGAAUAAGCAUUACGAGGAGAUGAUGAAGGAGACCUUUUAUGGUUCGGACGUCGCUAGGACGUU